GUGGGGAAUUUUGGACAAUGGGCGCAAGCCUGAUCCAGCAAUGCCGCGUGCAGGAAGAAGGCCUUCGGGUUGUAAACUGCUUUUGUACGGAACGAAAAGGCUCUGGUUAAUACCUGGGGCUCAUGACGGUACCGUAAGAAUAAGCACCGGCUAACUACGUGCCAGCAGCCGCGGUAAUACGUAGGGUGCAAGCGUUAAUCGGAAUUACUGGGCGUAAAGCGUGCGCAGGCGGUUUUGUAAGACAGACGUGAAAUCCCCAGGCUCAACCUGGGAAUGGCGUUUGUGACUGCAAAGCUGGAGUGCGGCAGAGGGGGAUGGAAUUCCGCGUGUAGCAGUGAAAUGCGUAGAUAUGCGGAGGAACACCGAUGGCGAAGGCAAUCCCCUGGGCCUGCACUGACGCUCAUGCACGAAAGCGUGGGGAGCAAACAGGAUUAGAAACCCUGGUAGUCC
Molecule: ribosomal RNA, 450 nt
Filed under: uncultured bacterium
Lineage: Bacteria
Description: partial 16S ribosomal RNA
Rfam family: Bacterial small subunit ribosomal RNA
Source: RNAcentral